CUAGUAACGGCGAGUGAAGAGGGAAGAGCCCAAGAUUGAAAGCUGGCGUCUUCGGCGUCCGCAUUGUAAUCUCAAGAAGUGUUUUCCGCUUCGGACCAUGCCUAAGUCCCUUGGAAAAGGGCAUCAUAGAGGGUGAUAAUCCCGUACAUGGCAUGGAGCGCCCGAAGCUUUGUGAUACGCUUUCUAAGAGUCGAGUUGUUUGGGAAUGCAGCUCAAAAUGGGUGGUAAAUGCCAUCUAAGGCUAAAUAUUGGGGAGAGACCGAUAGCGAACAAGUACAGUGAUGGAAAGAUGAAAAGAACUUUGAAAAGAGAGUUAAACAGUACGUGAAAUUGCCAAAAGGGAAGGGUAGGAGGUCAGAGAUGCGGCCUAGGAUUCAGCCUUGCUUUUGCUUGGUGUUUUUCCUAGGUUGCAGGCCAACGUCGGUUUUGGGCACUGGAGAAGGGUGGAAGGAAUGUGGCACCUCUCGGGGUGUGUUAU
RNAcentral lists this ribosomal RNA (478 nucleotides) under Ustilago trichophora. RNAcentral describes it as "LSU rRNA". It matches the Rfam family "Eukaryotic large subunit ribosomal RNA", at positions 80 to 559 of the family's 3401-position model. Lineage: Eukaryota; Fungi; Basidiomycota; Ustilaginomycetes; Ustilaginales; Ustilaginaceae. The record is from RNAcentral.